GCGAAACCUCCGCAAUGUGAGCAAUCGCGACGGGGGGAUCCCAAGUGCCAUUCUUAACGGGAUGGCUUUUCUUAAGUGUAAAGAGCUUUUGGAAUAAGAGCUGGGCAAGACCGGUGCC
RNAcentral lists this ribosomal RNA (118 nucleotides) under uncultured archaeon. RNAcentral's name for it is "partial 16S ribosomal RNA". It matches the Rfam family "Archaeal small subunit ribosomal RNA", at positions 341 to 459 of the family's 1478-position model. The record is from RNAcentral.